This 217-nucleotide ribosomal RNA is filed under the name uncultured bacterium. RNAcentral's name for it is "partial 16S ribosomal RNA". It matches the Rfam family "Bacterial small subunit ribosomal RNA", at positions 328 to 539 of the family's 1533-position model. The record is from RNAcentral.
ACGCUCGACACCUACGGGAGGCAGCAGUGAGGAAUAUUGGUCAAUGGACGCAAGUCUGAACCAGCCAUGCCGCGUGCAGGAUGACGGCUCUAUGAGUUGUAAACUGCUUUUGUACGAGGGUAAACGCAGAUACGUGUAUCUGUCUGAAAGUAUCGUACGAAUAAGGAUCGGCUAACUCCGUGCCGCAGCCGCGGUAAUCUGAGCGGGCUGGCAAGGC